Long non-coding RNA from Zonotrichia leucophrys gambelii, 777 nucleotides. RefSeq lists it as uncharacterized. The transcript has 3 exons. The record is from RefSeq and is a predicted model, not a curated record. Lineage: Eukaryota; Metazoa; Chordata; Aves; Passeriformes; Passerellidae.
CUACAAUGCCUUUCUCCUGCCCCUCCCCAGCCUGAGGUUGCUCUUCUGCUCACACUCUCUGUCCUUGUCACACACAGUGGAGCACCAAAGGGAGAAGGUUUCAGAAAACUUUUCUGAAGCGUAAAAGGGUACUAUAAAAUGAACUCACAACCAUUAAGGCCUGGCAGUUCCCUGCAGUGAGAGCUCAGUGCACAUCCACAGAGGCAAUUCCAGCAUCUGAAAGGAAGAAAAGAAGAAAAAGGACUUUUCCAAUCCAACCCUGAAGCUGAGAAGCCCAAAAGCUCUGGAGUCUGCUCUGGAACAAAAGGAUCCUCCCAGGGCUGAGGCCCAUUCCCAGCAAACUCUCCCAACAGGCCCAGAGGCGCCGCUGGAGCUCCUGCUGGGCUGGGAAGGGCUGCCAGGAGGACACAGCCCCAGGGGUGGCAGUGGCAGUGGCAGCAGCAAAUGGCCACGCUGGGAUGGCACAGCAGAGCCCAAGGCCAGCAAUGGCCACGGCAGCUGCAGGGUUAAUUCUGCUCCCUGCGCUGCCCCAGCCCGGCAGGAAAUGCCGGGGGGACAGAAACUCUCGGGGUGCACAAAGUGCAGCAUCUGUGCCCCCGAUCCUGCCUGAGCCCAGCGUGGGGGGCCAACCCCCCCAGGGCCAGCCCUGCCCUGCCCUGGCUCAGCCCCAGACACUGCCCCAGCUCCCGGCUGCUCCCGGGGCUGCCACCAUUCCUGGCAAGGGGACAAAAGUGACAGAGCCCCUCUGGACAGGGCUCUCUCGGGGUCUCAGGCGUC